AUUGAACGCUAGCGGGAUGCCUUACACAUGCAAGUCGAACGGCAGCGCGGACUUCGGUCUGGCGGCGAGUGGCGAACGGGUGAGUAAUGUAUCGGAACGUGCCCAGUAGCGGGGGAUAACUACGCGAAAGCGUAGCUAAUACCGCAUACGCCCUACGGGGGAAAGCAGGGGAUCGUAAGACCUUGCACUAUUGGAGCGGCCGAUAUCGGAUUAGCUAGUUGGUGAGGUAACGGCUCACCAAGGCGACGAUCCGUAGCUGGUUUGAGAGGACGACCAGCCACACUGGGACUGAGACACGGCCCAGACUCCUACGGGAGGCAGCAGUGGGGAAUUUUGGACAAUGGGGGCAACCCUGAUCCAGCCAUCCCGCGUGUGCGAUGAAGGCCUUCGGGUUGUAAAGCACUUUUGGCAGGAAAGAAACGUCGCGGGCUAAUACCCCGUGGAACUGACGGUACCUGCAGAAUAAGCACCGGCUAACUACGUG
RNAcentral lists this ribosomal RNA (484 nucleotides) under uncultured bacterium. Its description in RNAcentral is "partial 16S ribosomal RNA". It matches the Rfam family "Bacterial small subunit ribosomal RNA", at positions 30 to 507 of the family's 1533-position model. The record is from RNAcentral.